AGAGGUAUAGUACAACGGCAGUAUGACUGGCUCCAAACCAGUAGAUAGGGGUUCGAUUCCUUUUGCCUCUG
This 71-nucleotide transfer RNA is filed under the name Caudoviricetes sp. RNAcentral's name for it is "tRNA-Trp". It matches the Rfam family "tRNA". Rfam says of the family: Transfer RNA (tRNA) molecules are approximately 80 nucleotides in length. Their secondary structure includes four short double-helical elements and three loops (D, anti-codon, and T loops). The record is from RNAcentral. Lineage: Duplodnaviria; Heunggongvirae; Uroviricota; Caudoviricetes.